Molecule: ribosomal RNA, 277 nt
Filed under: uncultured bacterium
Lineage: Bacteria
Description: partial 16S ribosomal RNA
Rfam family: Bacterial small subunit ribosomal RNA
Source: RNAcentral
ACUCCUACGGGAGGCAGCAGUGGGAAUAUUGCACAAUGGGCGCAAGCCUGAUGCAGCCAUGCCGCGUGUAUGAAGAAGGCUUUCGGGUUGUAAAGUACUUUCAGCAGUGAGGAAGGUGGGUAUGUUAAUAGCAUACUCAUUUGACGUUAGCUGACAGAAGAAGCACCGGCUAACUCCGUGCCAGCAGCCGCGGUAAUACGGAGGGUGCGAGCGUUAAUCGGAAUUACUGGGCGUAAAGCGCAUGCAGGUGGUUUGUUAAGUCAGAUGUGAAAAGCCC